GUAUCUAUAAUAAUAAAGUUGCCCAGAAACUCUCCUCCUUGAGCCACCUCAGCAGAGGCUAUUCCAAAAUUGAACACGUGUCCACUUCUUAAAAAAGCUUUCGUAAUGUUCGUUUCUGUUUAUGAGCCAAUUGUUUUGGAUUCUGCUUAAUUUAUAAGGCCCAACUUUAUUUUUCAUACACUCAAUAACUUAAGUUUUGUCCAGCUCGGUGGCCCACCUUCUUAGGAGAGACGACGUAGCUCCUAAAGUCUUGACGCCUCCAGCAAUGGCUGUGUAACCGCUACCGUUUGCAUUCCUCUGGCGUAUUAAAUCAAACAGUCGAAGGUAACAGCUAAAACCUCCGGCUAUAAAUUUGCUCCAAAUCUGCGAUGAAUUUCCUCACCCCCAACGAAUUCAGUCAAGAUCAAUCUGUCAAUGACGAACUUUACCAAUGGAGAUGAUGACUUGAAAGCUGUGUGUUGUUCAAACACUAGGAGGCACGGAAUGACAAGAAAGGUGUCAAACUCAUGGGACUUCACAUGCUCCUAUCGUUGGUGUUAUCGGAAUUGAGACGAACCAUAAUCUUCAUUUCUUCCUGGACAAGAAACCUUUAUAAAACCUGAAACUUAAUCCCAGAAAGUCAAUUGCGUGUAAGCAGUGUUCCGGCCAGAGUAAAGAGAAUCAGAUCAAGAUCGAGUUUCCUAUGGAAGUAUCACAUUGCAUAGAAUCAAUUUCAGUUUGUUGUCAUUUGGAGGUAAAAUCCAUCUGGCAUUUGAUCUGUGACUCGAGAGAAAGUCAUUGUUUUCUGAAUCAGAAACUUGGGUUUAACAAACCAAGUCUUUCAGUUUCAUAGAAGGGUUUUGCGAGGUCAUUACACGACGUACCAGAGAGAGACAAAGAGUGAUAAAGAUGUUUAUGGAAAUGUAUUACUGCAUAAAAUUCAUAGAAAGUGAAAUCUUAUCAAUCGGAUUUAAAGUCAAUGCAUAAAAUGAUUUGUAAGUUGAUC
Brassica napus (rape) is the source of this 985-nucleotide long non-coding RNA. RefSeq lists it as uncharacterized. The transcript has 2 exons. Lineage: Eukaryota; Viridiplantae; Streptophyta; Magnoliopsida; Brassicales; Brassicaceae. The record is from RefSeq and is a predicted model, not a curated record.